GGAGGCGUGCUUACACAUGCAAGUCGAACGAGAAAUCUUUAACUCGCUAGAGAAAGUAAAGUGGCGCACGGGUGAGUAACGCGUGGGUAAUCUGCCUCCGAAUCGGGGAUAGGAUUGCGAAAGCGAUGCUAAUACCGGAUAAAAUCUGGUUGGCUUCGGUGAACCGGAUCAAAGGUGGUCUCUUUAUAAAAGCUACCGUUUGGAGAUGAGCUCGCGUACCAUUAGCUAGUUGGUGAGGUAAAGGCUCACCAAUGCGACGAUGGUUAGCUGGUCUGAGAGGAUGAUCAGCCACACCGGAACUGGAAGCGCGGUCCGGACUCCUACGGGAGGCAGCAGUGAGGAAUUUUGCGCAAUGGGGGAAACCCUGACGCAGCAACGCCGCGUGAGUGAUGAAGGCUUUCGGGUCGUAAAGCUCUGUCAGGCGGGAAGAACCCACCAAGUGUUAAGACCACUUGGUGCUGACGGUACCACCGAAGGAAGCACCGGCUAACUCCGUGCCAGCAGCCGCGGUAAUACGGGGGGUGCGAGCGUUAUUCGGAAUCAUUGGGCGUAAAGGGCGCGCAGGCGGUUUAGUAAGUCAGAUGUGAAAUCCCGGGGCUUAACCCCGGAAGUGCAUAUGAAACUAUGAGACUUGAGUAUGGGAGAGGGAAGCGGAAUUCCUGGUGUAGCGGUGAAAUGCGUAGAUAUCAGGAGGAACACCGGUGGCGAAGGCGGCUUCCUGGACCAAUACUGACGCUGAGGCGCGAAAGGCGUGGGGAGCGAACAGGAUUAGAUACCCCUGGUAGUCCACGCAGUAAAACGUUGAUCACCUAGGUGUAGCGGGUAUUGACCCCUGCUUGUGCCGGAAGUUACGCAGUAAGUUAUCCGACUGGGGAGUACGAUCGCAAGACUGAAUCUCAAAGGAAUUGACGGGGGCCCGCACAAUCGGUGGAGCAUGUGGUUAAAUUCGACGCAACUCGAAGAACCUUACCUGGACUUGACAUCUCGGGAAUUCCGUUGAAAGACGGGAGUGCCUUAACGNAGGAAUCCGAUGACAGGUGCUGCAUGGCNGUCGUCAGCUCGUGUCGUGAGAUGUUGGGUUAAGUCCCGCAACGAGCGCAACCCCUAUCUUCAGUUACCAUCAGGUGAUGCUGGGGACUUUGGAGAUACUGCCCCGGUUAACUCGGAGGAAGCUGGGGAUGACGUCAAGUCCUCAUGGCCUUUAUGUCCAGGGCUACACACGUGCUACAAUGGUAUGUACAAAGGGAAGCGAUCCCGCGAGGAGGAGCUAAUCCCAAAAAGCAUAUCAAAGUUCGGAUCGGAGUCUGCAACUCGACUCCGUGAAGUUGGAAUCGCUAGUAAUCGC
Molecule: ribosomal RNA, 1345 nt
Filed under: uncultured organism
Description: bacterial SSU rRNA
Rfam family: Bacterial small subunit ribosomal RNA
Source: RNAcentral